CCAUGUGCCACCACUCAAUGUCGCCAAUGCCACCACCCCAUGUCCCCAUGUGCCACCACCCCACGUUCCCAUGUGCCACCACCCCGUGUCCCCAGGUGCCACCACCCAAUGUCCCCACGUGCCAACACCCCAUGUGCCACCACCCCACAUCCCCACGUGCCACCACCCCCUGUCCCCAUGUGCCACCAUCCCCAUGUGCCACCACCCAAUGUCCCCAAUGCCACCACCCCAUGUCCCCAUGUGCCACCACCCCAUGUCCUCACGUCCCCACAUCCCCAUGUGCCACCGCCCCAAGUGCCACCACCCCCAUGUGCCACCACCCAAUGUCCCCAAUGCUACCACCCCAAUGUCCCCAUGUGCCACCAUCCCCAUGUGCUACCACCCAAUGUCCCCAUGUGCCACCACCCCAUGUCCCCAUGUGUCACAACCCCAAUGUCCCCAUGUGCCACCACCCAAUGUCCCUGUGUGUCACCACCCCCGUGUGCCACCACCCCAAUGUCCCCACGUGCCACCACCCCAUGUCCCCAUGUGCCACCAUCCCCAUGUGCUACCACCCAAUGUCCCCAUGUGUCACCGCCCCAUGUGCCACCACCCUAUGUCCCCAGGUGCCAACACCCCAUGUGCCACCACCCCAUGUCCCCAUGUGCCACCACCCCAAUGUCCCCAUGUGCCACCACCCCAUGUGCCACCACCCCAUGUCCCCAGGUGCUACCACCCAAUGUCCCCGUGGGCCACCACCCCCAUGUCCCCAAUGCUGCCACUCCAAUGUCCCCAUGUGCCACCACCCCAAUGUCCCCAUGUGCCACCACACCAGGUGUCACCACCCCAUGUCCCCCAUGUGCCACCACCGCAUGUGCCACCACCCCAUGUCCCCAAUGCCACCACCCCAAUGUCCCCAUGUGCCACCACCCCAAUGUCCCCAUGUCCAACCACCCCACGUGCCACCACCCAAUGUCCCCAUGUGCCACCACCCCACGUCCCCAUGUGCCACCACCCAAUGUCCCCAUGUGCCCCCACCCCAUGUCCUCACGUCCCCACAUCCCCAUGUGCCACCGCCCCAAAUGCCACCACCCCAUGUGCCACCACCCAAUGUCCCCAAUGCCACCACCCCAGUGUCCCAAUGCCACCACCCCAAUGUCCCCAUGUGCCACCACCCCAUGUGCUACCACCCAAUGUCCCCGUGGGCCACCACCCCCAUGUCCCCAAUGCUGCCACCCCAAUGUCCCCAUGUGCCACCACCCCAAUGUCCC
This 1250-nucleotide long non-coding RNA is filed under the name Numida meleagris (helmeted guineafowl). Its description in RNAcentral is "lncRNA (ENSNMEG00000001026.1)". Lineage: Eukaryota; Metazoa; Chordata; Aves; Galliformes; Numididae. The record is from RNAcentral.